Molecule: ribosomal RNA, 374 nt
Filed under: Dicrocoelium dendriticum
Lineage: Eukaryota; Metazoa; Platyhelminthes; Trematoda; Plagiorchiida; Dicrocoeliidae
Description: partial large subunit ribosomal RNA
Source: RNAcentral
AGUGUUGCACGCUUUGGGUGUUCAUCGAGCCUCCUUGUCAGUGCACUUUCUCAGAGUGGUCACCACGACCGACGCCGCUGUCAGGCUGUCAUAGUUAAACCGGUCUUGUAGUGUCCUUGUGGCAUUGCCUGGUCGGGAUGGCAGGUAGCUUGUUGGCUCGCUUCGGCUUGCUUUCGAGUGUAAUCAGCUGACUGUGACGGUUCUGUGCAGUGCGUCGGAGACGGCGGCCAGUGGUGUGUGCAUGCGUGCCCGAUUUGUUGGCGUACCCUGGUUUGGUUUCUGUGUUGCCUGUGAUAGCAGGCCUAGUUAUGGCUGGGGUUCGUUCGGCGAAUGGUUGCGUGUGUGGCACUUCCAAGGGCCAAUAGUCUGUGGUG